RNAcentral lists this long non-coding RNA (752 nucleotides) under Homo sapiens (human). RNAcentral describes it as "HSALNT0090622". The record is from RNAcentral. Lineage: Eukaryota; Metazoa; Chordata; Mammalia; Primates; Hominidae.
CAGACUCUAGCAACUUAUAGAUGAAACCUGAAUGAAUUUUCCUCAUUAUCAUGCUAAAGCUUCCACGCUGGGAGAAGCUAUGGCUUCAUUACCGAAACUUGCGACCUACCUGCUGGCAUGUGUCACUAUACUUCGUAUGUGCUCCUGUCCAUGCGAUGAUGCACCCUCUCCCCUCUCCAUCACCAGGGCAAGUUCUGACUCAUCUUGAUGGAAGUGAACAAAUCUGAUCCUUACCAAGUGUUGCUUACUUCAAAAAAUGGCAGCAUCAUUCACAAGUUUGCAAAACCUUGGUGUUACGUUUUCAUCCUGCCCCACUCCCUAGCCUCCCGAACAUUCAAUCCAUUGCUCUAUUGAUUAUUGUUAUCUACUAAGUAUUUCUCAGACCCAUAUACCUUUCUCCCAGUUUGCCACCAGCUUAGCCCAACUAUGAUGUCAUCUCAUUUGGACGAUCGUAACAACUUUCUAACUGGUCUCUUAAUAUGUCAGUGCCUACAGAUCUAUUCUCCACAUGUAACUGCAAGAUCUUUUUAAAGCAAAAGCCUAAUAAAAUCCCCUUAUUGUUCUUGGAUUUAAAUCAGAUAAACAAAUAACUGUACAUGCUCAUAUUCUCUGCCACUAGGGAUUAUGCUGAGGUGAUUUGUUUCGUCACUUUAACCUAGACAAUUCCUAUUCAUCUUUCAGCUCUCACUUCAGCAUGAUUUUGUAGGGGAAGCUCCACAUUACAUUUUUUACUAAGACAGAUCACACCACCU